GUGGGGAAUUUUGGACAAUGGGCGAAAGCCUGAUCCAGCAAUGCCGCGUGUGUGAAGAAGGCCUUCGGGUUGUAAACCUCUUUUAGCAGGGAAGAAGCGAAAGUGACGGUACCUGCAGAAAAAGCACCGGCUAACUACGUGCCAGCAGCCGCGGUAAUACGUAGGGUGCAAGCGUUGUCCGGAAUUAUUGGGCGUAAAGAGCUCGUAGGCGGUUUGUCGCGUCUGCUGUGAAAACCCGAGGCUCAACCUCGGGCCUGCAGUGGGUACGGGCAGACUAGAGGGCGGUAGGGGAGAUUGGAAUUCCUGGUGUAGCGGUGGAAUGCGCAGAUAUCAGGAGGAACACCGAUGGCGAAGGCAGAUCUCUGGGCCGUAACUGACGCUGAGGAGCGAAAGCGUGGGGAGCGAACAGGAUUAGAUACCCCUGUAGUCC
This 430-nucleotide ribosomal RNA is filed under the name uncultured bacterium. RNAcentral's name for it is "partial 16S ribosomal RNA". It matches the Rfam family "Bacterial small subunit ribosomal RNA", at positions 354 to 796 of the family's 1533-position model. The record is from RNAcentral.